CGAGACUUUUAAGUCGAGUGUUCCUGUGGGGCCAAAAGGAUGGUUUCAGAGAAAUCCCAGGAAGUGAGAGUGCUGGGAUAUGCGAGGGGCCCACGGAGCCCUCCCCUGCGUGUCUGAGAUCACACCCUGCGGGUACCCUGCCGUCGUGUGCUGAAGGAGGUGACUGGAUCUCGACUCCAGAGUUUGCUCCUGAGAUCGAAAAACAAAACAACCCAAUAAUAGCAAUGGAUAUUUAUUAUGUCCUAGGGCUAUAAGAACAUAAGAAAAAGACCCCUGAAACUAGGAAAGAAAGCUUCAAAGAGAUGGUCAUUUAGACAUUUUUAAAGAAUGAGAGGAAUUGUUGGAGAAGAUUGGCAUGGGAGAAGAGAAUUGAAGCAGAGGGAACAGCAUGUACAAAGGUCUUGAUUUAAGUUCCUGAACUCUGCCCACCACCACCAGCAGCCAUGACUUCUUGGCAAGACUCCAAACCCCUCCCUACCUUCACUCUUUAGGGAGAAAGGCUAGACUUACAGGGUGACCAAUAAUGCUGGUUUAUCCAAGAAGGGGAUUCCCAAGACACAGGGCUGUCAGUGCUAAACCAGGGUGUUCCUGUCCAACUUGGCUUCCAUAAGAACUUCAAUCAAAUUCACAGACCACAUUCAAAUUUGUCAAUUGUCCUAAUAAUAGCUA
This 669-nucleotide long non-coding RNA is filed under the name Homo sapiens (human). RNAcentral's name for it is "long non-coding RNA NONHSAT149999.1". The record is from RNAcentral. Lineage: Eukaryota; Metazoa; Chordata; Mammalia; Primates; Hominidae.